RNAcentral lists this long non-coding RNA (1306 nucleotides) under Arabidopsis lyrata. RNAcentral's name for it is "long non-coding RNA (ALYR_LNC001344)". The record is from RNAcentral. Lineage: Eukaryota; Viridiplantae; Streptophyta; Magnoliopsida; Brassicales; Brassicaceae.
UCGGAGUCCGAGUCGGGUAGAAGUUGGUGGAGUCGAGAGUUGUAGUCGGGUAAUCCGGUAAGUAGUUCCGCCUUUAGUCUUUAUUCUUUUUAGAAUAUUUUUUCUAAAUUUUGUUUUCGGUCCGACGCUUAGAUCCAUCGUUAGUACGCGUUGGAGAUAGCUCGGUCGGAUCAAAAUUAUUAGGCGGUCAAGGGUAGAGUUUUAUUCUCUCGACAAUAAGGCCAAGGUGAGUUCCGUAGCGAGUGUAGUAGCACACGACUAGGUUUUAUUUUUGGGUUUAUGAUGGUUAGGCAUGAGGUUGCAUUUUUAUACUUAGUAUAAAUUAUGUAUAAAUUAUGGUUAGCUGGUUAUAUGUUUUGACGUAUAAUUGGGUUGAUUAUUUUAGAUAGAUCUCGCAUUCUUGCUUGAUUUAUUUCUGGUAGUUGCAUGAUGUUGAAUAUUGUUUGGGUGUUGGUAAUUUUUAUUACGAAUUUAAAUUAUUAGCAAGCAUGUUAGGUUGUUUGAUUGUUGAAUGAUUGAUUGUUGAAUGAUUGAUUGUUGUUAGUUAAUCUUGCAUUAGCUCGAUUAACAUAUGUGUAGUAGGUGCUUGCUAGUAGAUCUUAUUACGAGUAGUAUUGAGGUUUAAUCCGCUCGUAGUAAGUAGUUAUUGUUACUCAUUUUUCUUAUGACUAUAGUAUGGAAUUGUCUUGAUUGUCCCAAUAGCUCGGAAUGGCUCGCUACCACCCGAGGCUGCCUAACGAGGUAGUAAAAAUUUGACCGUAAGAGAUGUGAUCUCUUAUAAACGGUUUGGUUUGGAGAAGGGAUGUUUGAUCCUUCUAGCCUUUGUGGCUAAAGGUCGGAGAAACGUUGCCCAGUGGGCGAUCAACAUCGUAUAUGGCCCGUAGAAUGAGGAGUCGUUAGCAUGCUAGUUGUAGUUUUAGUAGUAGUUCCGCUGCAUGUACUCUGUAUUGAGUACUUUUGUUUGUAUACACUUUUCUAAGUGUAUUUGUGUGAUUUCUUGUCGAGUAUACUCGUGUGUUGCAUUGAUUGCUUGUUUGGGGUUGGGAUUGGGAUUAUUAUUAUUUGUUAGAAAACCGGACUCACUGAGUAAUCUUAGAUUACUCAUGAUUCAACCUUUUGUUUUACAGGUAACCUUAGUUGGGAGACCAAAAAGGGGAGCACGGACGUUGGGAACCGGUGUAGAGUUUGUUGUCUUUGUAAAAUAGGGAUUUGUAAUAAUUGACUCGAUUUGAGCCUUAGGCUCGAGAUCCCAAUCAAUUGUAAGUGUUUUCAAUGUUUUAUUGAAUAAAAUGAGAUUUCUUUAAAA